Molecule: long non-coding RNA, 888 nt
Organism: Bos taurus (domestic cattle)
Lineage: Eukaryota; Metazoa; Chordata; Mammalia; Artiodactyla; Bovidae
Source: Ensembl
UCUAUACUGGAACUAACAUUCUUGUGGUUGGGGAAAAGUAUACAAAACUCAAUCCAUAUCAACUGAAAUCCCUUGUUUACUAAAAUUUGGAGUAGGGGCAGUCUGCUCACAGGGAGGAAUUACUUUAUAACUGGAGAAAGUAAGGCAUUAUCUCAUGAAAACAGAGAUCUUUUACUGCAUUUAUUACUUCACUGCAUUUAUUCAGUGAACAACGUAUUAGCAAGGUCUAAGAGGGGCAAUAAGGAGGAUCAAAGAGCAUGAAGUAACUGAUUCCACUUGGGAAGUUUGAGCAGUGAAAGGAAUGUGGGCACUGACUCUUCGAGAAAUUGACCAGACAGAAAAGGAAGGAAAACCCUUUCCAGGGAGAUGGUAUAACAUGUGUAGAGAGUGCCACUGUUUCUGAUGAAGGCAUUGGAGGCUGAAAUUUGAAAACAAAUAUUUUUCUGAAGAAGGGAUGCUGUUGUUGUUCAUUAACUGGCUUUUAGAUAAGCAUGUCAAGUUGCUGACUCCCUGACGGAUUCUGGGACAGAAGGAAGAAACAUCUGACUGACUUCCGUCAGAAGUUGGACAGGAUUUUAGCUUGUGCUCUGAGUGCUCAGACUUGCUGUGUGCCCUUCACACUGUUGGAAAGAAGGAAAAGGCCAUUCAGUGGAGAGCUGACAAAACUUCCAGGAGAAUCGGACUUCGGUGAUGCACUCGUCCAUUUCGUUUGACUACGGUACCCACAGCAGCUAGGACAGGAUCUGGCGCUUAAACUUCAACACUUUAUUUGAUGCUGAUGAAGUCAAUACCUCGAAGACCAAGAAACCACCUUCUGAAGCUUUUGAUAAAUCUCAGCUUGCCAACUUAAUUUUCUAAGUUUGGGAAGGGAAAUAGUGAGAAAAUGAA